RNAcentral lists this long non-coding RNA (1469 nucleotides) under Linum usitatissimum (flax). Its description in RNAcentral is "long non-coding RNA (LUSI_LNC005344)". The record is from RNAcentral. Lineage: Eukaryota; Viridiplantae; Streptophyta; Magnoliopsida; Malpighiales; Linaceae.
UAUUGUUAGAUCUAUCCAGACAUUAAUCAUUAGAUUAUAAUGAAAUAACUAAAAUAUAUGACGAGCUAAUUAUUCAAAAAAGCAUAUGAAGUUAAUCUCAGUUGGAAGAGGAGAAGAAUCAAACAAACAAAAAGACAACCUUAAAACAGUUGGAUGGAUAGGAGAAACAUGAUCAGCCGAGAAAUCAAAUUAAAGCUUCAUGUGUGGAUGAACAUAAACCUUGCUUUAUGGAUCCAAACUCUUCAGCUUCUGCAAUUUUUUAUAUAUUAAUCAUUGCAGCAAGCAAGUGGCUAUAGCUUAGGUUGCUGGGAACUUGUUUCUGCCUGCUGGGAUGAACAAUUUCUGAGAGGAAGAUUAAACUAAAAGCCAGAGAACCCGCAAAUGAAGGAAAUAAAAUACCUCUUCUGGUUAUAUUCAGUACACGUGUCCGUAUUUUAUUGGAACGGCCGCCGGAGUCUUGUCGUGUAGUGCCCUUUCCUACUCCCAAGUAAUGUCUUCAGCAUAUGAUCAUUAACACUACAUCACAAUGGAGCGGGGAAAGAUAAGUUGACCUAAAUAAAACCUUGUUAUCAGAAUCCGAUUCAAGUGGAAGACAUUGUCAGAGUUCAUCACUAGACUGCACCAUAUUGCAUGACACAACACAUGACACCUGACUUAUCUAUUUUUGUUAUUUGGUUUGGAGGUUGGCUAAAUCCGUUAUUUGAAAAAAGAACGAGUGCAAACCAAUAAAUUAGUGGAAGCAAAAACAAUAGCUAGUUGAUAACUUGAUAUAGUGUUAAAUUCAGCUUAUUAAUCGUAUUUUCUAUGAAAAUGUCACUUUUAAUCAAGAAAAAUGUGAAGGAGAAGAUUAAUCACAUAAGCUUUCUCAUAAACCUAAUAUACAUUGUUUUGUUCACUAAUGAGAUGAUGAUAAUUACUAUCAUCAUGUAAUUAGUAAGAGAGCGAGCUAUGUUUCAUAUCAAACAAGUUGGGUGAUUAGUAUCAUGUAAGCAAGACCUAUUACUUCUUUAUAGUAACAUUAAAAAACAAAAAUUUCAAAAAAUUUAUUAAGUUUGACAAGUUAUGUGAUCAGUAUCAUCUAAGUAAAGUAAGACAGACUGUCUUUCCAGAGUUACUAAUAAAAAAUUAUAAAUACAGACAAUUGUGUAAAUUAGACAUGUUGUUAGAUCUGUCGAGAGAUUAGAAUAUAAGAUUAUAUGUGGUGGAAUAGCUAAAAUAUAAUGAAGAGGUGUUUAUAGAUGAGAAAUAUAUGAAAGAGGAGAAGAAUCAAACAAAAAUGAACAACCUUAAAAAUGUUGGAUGGUUGGAGAAUAUAAACAAUGUUUAAGAUAACUUAGAAAAAAUGACAACCUUAUAAGUAAGUUGUGUAAUGCAGAGUUUCAACGUGAUCUGCAGACAAAGCUUCAUGUGUGGAUGAACAUAGACCUUGCUUUAUGGAUCAGAUCACUCUGCAGCUUCUGCCAUUUUUG